Molecule: long non-coding RNA, 556 nt
Organism: Harmonia axyridis
Lineage: Eukaryota; Metazoa; Arthropoda; Insecta; Coleoptera; Coccinellidae
Exons: 3
Source: RefSeq, a predicted model, not a curated record
GAAAGUAGGUACAGAAAUUUCUACAGAAAAGGAGAAGAUGAGAGAAAAGAAACCAAGGGGUUUAGAUGAUGAAGAUGAGGGUAGAUGUGCAAAAAGAAUACGUUUGUCUGAAGAUGCAGAUGUUGAUUCUUAGCGAUUAUACAUUGUCCUCAUUGGACCAUCAUACAUUUCAAGAAGUGAGCCACCUGAAUUCUAUUUAAAAAGAAGAGAUGAACAUGCCAAUGGUGGUCUCUUACCAGUCAAUUUCACUGAAAUAACAUCUAUUGAUAACUCUGGAAGCAUUGGACGUUCUGAGGUCAAGUCACAAAACUUCAAAACACCUUUAUAUGCCUUUGAAGAUAUGGUUGUAAAAUACCUUGCUUUUGACUAUGUCGGUAAUGUUGCUAUCUGUGAAAUCGUCAUAACUGUACCAGACAACACUUCAUCUCAGUUAAGAUCAGAUCACUUCAGAUUGAAAAUACAUGACGUUGUUUCUGUAUUAGUUAGAAAAUUCGGAGCUGAUGGAAUUGCUCCAUAUGUGGCACAAGAUGAUCAAAUUAUGUGCAAAAGACUGAGG